Molecule: long non-coding RNA, 496 nt
Filed under: Sorghum bicolor (sorghum)
Lineage: Eukaryota; Viridiplantae; Streptophyta; Magnoliopsida; Poales; Poaceae
Description: long non-coding RNA (SBIC_LNC008894)
Source: RNAcentral
GGUUAAGUUAGAGCGUAGUUGGUUCUCCUAUUUCCCUAUGGAUACAAUAAAACCUUUAACCGGGUAAAAGCUACAACGGUAUCCGUGCGCUUGCAGAUUAUCUGUGUGCGUAUAAAUACCAUAGUACACUCUAGUGCCAUGCUGGGGAUGACAACCUAGUAUUCAAGUGGUGUUAGCAAGGGUCAACAAGCAUUUUUGGCACCGUUGCCAAGGAAACGGUUGCUAAGUUGACUACGAACUAGCUUAAUCAUUUUCUAAAAAAUAAAAAAAAUAUAUUUUUUCCUUUCAUCCUUUGCCUCAUCUCUGCUAUUCUUUCUUCUUAUCUAAUCCUUGAUCUCUGGUCUAUCAUGAAUUCAAACAUGUCUAUCUAUCAGUUUCAUAGACCUACGAGCACACAUCUCGAACCACCAAAAUCAUCAAAGCCUAUCAUAGCAUCUAGUUUUGAGAUAGACGCCGAAUACAUAGAAUUUGUUCAAAAACAACCUUUCUUAGGAGA